GUCUUAAUAACGACCUGCAUGAAACAUAGAACGAUUUGAUAGCUGUCUUGCACACACAUCAUGGUAAAAUAUUCAUCAGUACAAAUAAUAUGCUGCAGAAGUCAAAACUAAAGGACAAAAAGACCCUUUGAAGCUUUAUAGGGAUAAAACUACGUUAUUGUCAAAGGAAGGUUAGCUUCUCCGCUUACUGCUAAAGCCUCACAAGAUUUACAACAUCAAGACCACUGUUUAAUUGGGGCGAUAACCUUAUCCACAGCCACCUAAGGUGAACAAAGCGAUACAAGGAUCCUAAAUACAAAUUUGACCAACUAAUAAGUGCAAAGAUACAUGUUUUGUUUAAUGGCCCAACAAGUCCUUCCCAGUACUUAAAUGCUAUCUUAAUGAGCUUUAAAUUAAUUUACCAGAGUUAAGCUACUCUACGGAUAACAGGCUUAAUUUCCGCAAUAUCUAAGGUCACAUUCUCAAGAAAAAUGCACCUCGAUGUCGGCUUAUCUCAACCAAGGUAAGUAGUUGAAUAAUUGGUGGGAGUGCUCAUCCCAUUAAAAGGUACGUGAG
This 555-nucleotide ribosomal RNA is filed under the name Symbiodinium muscatinei (nom. inval.). RNAcentral's name for it is "Symbiodinium muscatinei partial large subunit ribosomal RNA". It matches the Rfam family "Bacterial large subunit ribosomal RNA", at positions 1974 to 2604 of the family's 2925-position model. The record is from RNAcentral. Lineage: Eukaryota; Dinophyceae; Suessiales; Symbiodiniaceae.